AUACGGAGGAUCCGAGCGUUAUCCGGAUUUAUUGGGUUUAAAGGGUGCGCAGGCGGCCAUUUAAGUCAGCGGUUAAAUCGUGGGGCUCAACCCCAUUCUGCCGUUGAUACUGGGUGGCUUGAUUGCGGUCGAGGUUGGCGGAAUUCGUUGUGUAGCGGUGAAAUGCAUAGAUAUGACGAAGAACACCGAUUGCGUAGGCAGCUGACCAGACCGCAAAUGACGCUCAUGCACGAAAGUGCGGGGAUAGAACAGGAGUAGAUACCCUGGUAGUCCGCACAGUAAACGAUGAAUACUUGUUUUCGGCGAUAUAAUGUCGGAGGCAAAGCGAAAGCGAUAAGUAUUCCGCCUGGGGAGUACGCCGGCAACGGUGAAACUCAAAUGAAUUGGCGGGG
This 392-nucleotide ribosomal RNA is filed under the name uncultured bacterium. RNAcentral's name for it is "partial 16S ribosomal RNA". It matches the Rfam family "Bacterial small subunit ribosomal RNA", at positions 523 to 918 of the family's 1533-position model. The record is from RNAcentral.